Molecule: long non-coding RNA, 208 nt
Filed under: Elaeis guineensis (African oil palm)
Lineage: Eukaryota; Viridiplantae; Streptophyta; Magnoliopsida; Arecales; Arecaceae
Description: long non-coding RNA (EGUI_LNC029982)
Source: RNAcentral
AUAUCGAGGAAGAUAUGAAUAUUGAUGAGUAGAUCUUUAUUUUUCGUUCAAUUUGAUGUUGCAAUAAUGGUAUAUAAUAUAAUUAUAUUUAUUAGAAUGUUAUUUGAUUUCUAUUAUUAUUAUUUAAUAUUAUAUUUAUUUACAUCUCAAUUUCUGUACAUAUGGAAUCAGGAGAUAGACGACGACGGUCGCGUUCACAGUUACCUGC